Molecule: ribosomal RNA, 118 nt
Filed under: Diaphorina citri (Asian citrus psyllid)
Lineage: Eukaryota; Metazoa; Arthropoda; Insecta; Hemiptera; Psyllidae
Source: RNAcentral
ACCAGCGGCGACAGCACGUUGAAUGUACCAGUUCCCCACGGAUCACUCAAGUUAAGCAACGUUGCGCGUGGUUAGUAUCUGGAUGGGUGACCAUCUGGGGAAUCGCGUGCUGCUGGGU